RNAcentral lists this ribosomal RNA (505 nucleotides) under uncultured bacterium. Its description in RNAcentral is "partial 16S ribosomal RNA". It matches the Rfam family "Bacterial small subunit ribosomal RNA", at positions 28 to 507 of the family's 1533-position model. The record is from RNAcentral.
GACGAACGCUGGCGGCGUGCCUAAUACAUGCAAGUCGAACGCACAGUUUAUACCGUAGCUUGCUACACCAUAGACUGUGAGUUGCGAACGGGUGAGUAACGCGUAGGUAACCUGCCUGGUAGCGGGGGAUAACUAUUGGAAACGAUAGCUAAUACCGCAUAAUAUUAAUUAUUGCAUGAUAAUUGAUUGAAAGAUGCAACUGCAUCACUACCAGAUGGCCCUGCGUUGUAUUAGCUAGUAGGUGAGGUAACGGCUCACCUAGGCGACGAUACAUAGCCGACCUGGGAGGGUGAUCGGCCAAACUGGGACCGGGACACGGCCCAGACUCCUACGGGAGGCAGCAGUAGGGAAACUUCGGGCAUGGACGAAAGUCUGAACGGGCAAAGCCGGGUGAGUGAAGAAGGGUCUCGGAUCGUAAAGCUCUUUUGUAAGGGAAGAACGGGUGGGAGAGUGGAAAGUUCACACUGUGACGGUAUCUAACCAGAAAGGGACGGCUAACUACGUG